RNAcentral lists this ribosomal RNA (799 nucleotides) under uncultured Glomus. Its description in RNAcentral is "SSU rRNA". It matches the Rfam family "Eukaryotic small subunit ribosomal RNA", at positions 314 to 1114 of the family's 1831-position model. The record is from RNAcentral. Lineage: Eukaryota; Fungi; Glomeromycota; Glomeromycetes; Glomerales; Glomeraceae.
AUCAACUUUCGAUGGUAGGAUAGAGGCCUACCAUGGUGGUAACGGGUAACGGGGUGUUAGGGCACGACACCGGAGAAGGAGCCUGAGAAACGGCUACCACAUCCAAGGAUGGCAGCAGGCGCGCAAAUUACCCAAUCCCGACACGGGGAGGUAGUGACAAUAAAUAACAAUACGGGGUUCUUUAGGAUCUCGUAAUUGGAAUGAGUACAAUUUAAAUCUCUUAACGAGGAACAAUUGGAGGGCAAGUCUGGUGCCAGCAGCCGCGGUAAUUCCAGCUCCAAUAGCGUAUAUUAAAGUUGUUGCAGUUAAAAAGCUCGUAGUUGAAUUUCGGGGUUAGUAGGUUGGUCAUGCCUCUGGUAUGUACUGAUCUCACUGAUUCCUCCUUCCUUAUGAACCGUAAUGCCAUUAAUUUGGUGUUGCGGGGAAUUUGGACUGUUACUUUGAAAAAAUUAGAGUGUUUAAAGCAGGCUAACGCUUGAAUACAUUAGCAUGGAAUAAUGAAAUAGGACGUUCGAUCUUAUUUUGUUGGUUUCUAGGAUUGACGUAAUGAUUAAUAGGGAUAGUUGGGGGCAUUAGUAUUCAAUUGUCAGAGGUGAAAUUCUUGGAUUUAUUGAAGACUAACUACUGCGAAAGCAUUUGCCAAGGAUGUUUUCAUUAAUCAAGAACGAAAGUUAGGGGAUCGAAGACGAUCAGAUACCGUCGUAGUCUUAACCAUAAACUAUGCCGACUAGGGAUCGGAUGAUGUUAAUUUUUUAAUGACUCAUUCGGCGCCUUACGGGAAACCAAAGUGUUUGGGUUC